Long non-coding RNA from Hylaeus anthracinus, 423 nucleotides. RefSeq lists it as uncharacterized. The transcript has 3 exons. The record is from RefSeq and is a predicted model, not a curated record. Lineage: Eukaryota; Metazoa; Arthropoda; Insecta; Hymenoptera; Colletidae.
AUAUAAGAGAUAUUUUAAAUUAAUACAAACGUGAAAUAGACAAAAUUGUUGGUACGAAGCACAAAGAGGUUAAGUGAACACGUGGAAGAGAUGAAGGGAAGCUACCCAAGGAAAGAAUUGUGCAGUUAAUUACAAGAGUAUGUUACAGAUUUUACAAAUUGGGACUUCAAGUUAGCAUCAUUAAUUAUGGCUUCCAUUAUGGCAUAUAUAUGACUGAAUACGAUCAUUACUUCUUCUGUAGGAACAGAAAGGCCUCCUCUUUCAAUAGAAUGGGACCCAUAACCAGAUAUGUAAAUUUUAAUGGAAUCAUCAACAACACAAGUCACAACAACAUACAAUUCAGUUUCAAAGAUUCCCAGGAAACAAGUUACAUCAAUGGAAAGAUCAUGAAGAUUAUUAUCGUUAUCACAAAUUUCAAAUCUA